RNAcentral lists this long non-coding RNA (1599 nucleotides) under Oryza brachyantha (malo sina). Its description in RNAcentral is "long non-coding RNA (OBRA_LNC000990)". Lineage: Eukaryota; Viridiplantae; Streptophyta; Magnoliopsida; Poales; Poaceae. The record is from RNAcentral.
GGAGGAUUGAAGAAGCUAGCUAGCAAAUAUAAUCUUGGAUUUACAGUCGCCGCCAUUGGAGCGGACACACAUCACAUAUAGUACUAUGCAUAUCAUGCUUAAUUGUUUCAACUUUACUUUCUUCUACCCAUGCAUCCUCGUUUAGUGUGGCUGCAUCAUUGUAUGGAUCAUGGAUGGGCACCAUAUAUUUGCAAGUUGAUGCAAUUUGCAUUUACAUUCACACACACACAUAUCGAGCUGGCUACCUGCACAUCCCAUCGAUCUUCCUUCCCUUCUUACUUUCUCUGCUGCCAAUUCCAUCGGUACGUACAUACUUUGUGCUACUCAGGUUUAAUUGUGAUUACCUUACCUGCAAAACAAAACUUUAGGAAACAAAUUAUACUGUGCAGGUGUAGUGCCUUAAUCAUGUUGGCUAUUCAAAACCAAACCGCGAUUUCAGUAGUAAAUGUUCAGCUGGCCCAUCUGCAUCCAACAAAUUGGUUACCGAAUUGAUAUAUUGUUUUUGUGCCAAAAGAAUAUGAGUAAAAUUUCUAUUUAAUUAUAUGAUUUCAUUUCGAACCCACGGUUACAAAAUUAAGUGUUAAAACCGGUUUCGUUGUUACCAAGUAUAUGUGAAUAUGGCAGUAUAGUCGUGGCGGAUGCUUAAAUUUACGCACUAUCUUUUCGCUUUUAUUUAUGCUUAUAAGCUAAAAUUUAAAUUUGAAUUUUUAACCUUAAAUUUAAAUUUAAAGUUAAUUUUAGUUUUUUAACCAAAAAUUACUUUUCAUCGUGGGCUUUUAGAUCACUCAAGAUGCAUAUAUACUUUUUUAUUCAUAAAUUAUUUUUCCUUUAUAAAUAUACUAUAAAAAACAAUGUCCACGAAUUUGAGAGUGGUGAUAGAUCGAACAUUCACCGAUUCAUGCGUGUGUGCGAGUACAUAUCUUCCGUGAAAUCGAGAAAAAACGCACAUGCUGCAAGCUGCCACGGAAAUCCCUACUGGCUAGCUUCAGGUCAACGCAACAUGCAAGCUAGGUUACAUCAUUGUAUUUGUCAGCCUUAAAAUUGUUUUGUUCCUUCUUUUUUCCUUUUUUAUGUUUUGAAGACUACUCCUUAUAUGUUACAUUACAUAUAUAUUAUGCAUGCAGUUGCUUUUGAUUUUGCUCCAUAUGUAUGUAUAACUAGAGCGUUAAUCACUCAUCCUUGUUGGUUUGCAUCCUGUACAUGAAGCAAGAUUCCAUCUUGCCCCCCAAUUAUCACAAAACUCCAUCCAGAUCAAUCAACUUAACUACUCUACUCCAUCCAGGAAGGCCAUUCACUUUGGGAUCCCCAAAAAAAAAACAACAAAUACCCCCCAAAAAAAAGAGAGCAAGGCAUUAAUAAUUGUAAGAACAAUUAAUGGCAAUUCCUGGCUCGAUCUGCACCUGACCUGACGUAUCUGUGAUGUACUAUGGUAUUACUGUUCCAUUGCCACUUGCGGCGAGCUCAACCUCGCCGCCGGCGCCGGCACCAGUGACAGCGUGCAUGGCGAACAGCGCACGGCAGCUCAUCUCCUUCUCGAACCGCCAGAUGUAGUUGAGCCCCACCAGGAGCUCCGCCACCGCCGCCUCCACCCUGCCGCGG